UAAUGUGUAAGAGUCACUCAGGUGGUAC
RNAcentral lists this non-coding RNA (28 nucleotides) under Mus musculus (house mouse). The record is from RNAcentral. Lineage: Eukaryota; Metazoa; Chordata; Mammalia; Rodentia; Muridae.